RNAcentral lists this ribosomal RNA (497 nucleotides) under uncultured bacterium. RNAcentral describes it as "partial 16S ribosomal RNA". It matches the Rfam family "Bacterial small subunit ribosomal RNA", at positions 28 to 507 of the family's 1533-position model. The record is from RNAcentral.
GAUGAACGCUGGCGGCGUGCCUAAUACAUGCAAGUCGAGCGAACGGACGAGAAGCUUGCUUCUCUGAUGUUAGCGGCGGACGGGUGAGUAACACGUGGAUAACCUACCUAUAAGACUGGGAUAACUUCGGGAAACCGGAGCUAAUACCGGAUAAUAUUUUGAACCGCAUGGUUCAAAAGUGAAAGACGGUCUUGCUGUCACUUAUAGAUGGAUCCGCGCUGCAUUAGCUAGUUGGUAAGGUAACGGCUUACCAAGGCAACGAUGCAUAGCCGACCUGAGAGGGUGAUCGGCCACACUGGAACUGAGACACGGUCCAGACUCCUACGGGAGGCAGCAGUAGGGAAUCUUCCGCAAUGGGCGAAUGCCUGACGGAGCAACGCCGCGUGAGUUAUGAAGGUCUUCGGAUCGUAAAACUCUGUUAUUAGGGAAGAACAUAUGUGUAAGUAACUGUGCACAUCUUGACGGUACCUAAUCAGAAAGCCACGGCUAACUACGUG